UACGGAGGAUGCGAGCGUUAUCCGGAUUUAUUGGGUUUAAAGGGUGCGUAGGCGGAAUAUCAAGUCAGCGGUAAAAAUUCGGGGCUCAACCCCGUCGUGCCGUUGAAACUGAUGUUCUUGAGUGGGCGAGAAGUAUGCGGAAUGCGUGGUGUAGCGGUGAAAUGCAUAGAUAUCACGCAGAACUCCGAUUGCGAAGGCAGCAUACCGGCGCCCAACUGACGCUGAAGCACGGAAGCGUGGGUAUCGAACAGG
Molecule: ribosomal RNA, 252 nt
Filed under: uncultured bacterium
Lineage: Bacteria
Description: partial 16S ribosomal RNA
Rfam family: Bacterial small subunit ribosomal RNA
Source: RNAcentral